RNAcentral lists this long non-coding RNA (1168 nucleotides) under Monodelphis domestica (gray short-tailed opossum). RNAcentral's name for it is "lncRNA (ENSMODG00000040516.1)". Lineage: Eukaryota; Metazoa; Chordata; Mammalia; Didelphimorphia; Didelphidae. The record is from RNAcentral.
CUCGUGAUAAGGGUUUCUUUUACUGUCUGAAACCACUUCAGUUUUUGCCCACAAUUUCAAGUUGUAAAUACAGUAUCUCCAUUGUCAUUCUGUUCACCCAUCCUCCACAUUCAGCUGCAGAGAGCCCAAAUCAUGAUAAGCCUCAGUCUAGGCACUGUAGGGACCCCAGGCUGUUAUGAUAGUGCCUUAAACAGCCGUAUUUACUAGUUUUUAAUUACAGUUACCACCAAGCAUUUGGAUCUCCUAUUCAAAUAUGAUUGAGUUAAUCUUCAGAAUCCCUUGCUUGCAAUGAAGAUGGUUUAUUUUCCUCUAUUUCAAUAGGAGCAAAAAGAGAAGGCACAAAAAUAAACUACUUGCUGAUUCUGGCUGGCCGUUUUCUUUUUUGUACCCCCCCCCCAACUCCUCUGGGUCUAACAGAAGACUGCAUAACUGAGCACCCUCUCAUUCCUGCUCUCAGGCAAUUUGUUUUUUUUAAAGCAACUGUUCCAAUAGUUCGAAGAGAGAAAAUGAAAUCAAUAUUGCAGAAGGCAGAGAAGAAUCCAUAUCCUAGUCCUAUGAAGAAUGAUUUUUAUUAUGGGAAAUAUGAGUUUCUCUGCCUCUGUUUGCUGAAGUUAAGCAACAUAUGCUGCUGAAUCUGGAUUGUGAUUGUAGUGUGUGAUUGACCAACAGAUCACCUUACUUGAAGCAUCAACCCCUCAGAAAUGUGGUGUUAACAACUGAAAUUCUCAAGAGGUAGUAUUUCUUCAUUUUUAAAUUAUUUAUUAAUAAUGGGUCAAGGCAUCCUACCCUGGUCAGUUGACUCUCUCCAUAAUCUGACAGGUCCAACAAAGAGGGAAAAAGAGAACUUCCUAUCCUUGGUGCAGGUUUGUAUAUCUCUUGUGAGCUUAUCACUCAAUCUCUCCCCUCAACAACCCAAGACAUCUCUGGUAAAUAGCCACUGAGGAGGUGGACUUAGAGACCUCAACUCCUCCCCCAUUACUUCACACAAAGAGGCAGGUCUUUUUCCAUUCAAGGAAAAUGCCAACAUAUUCAACCAUGUGGAGUCCAAUAUGGCUGCUAGAGAUUGCUGACUUCCCUUAAUCUUUCAAACUGGGCCAGUCCCAGCCUUAAUCAUUUUAUCUUUAACAAAGACAAAAGAUCCUAACCCAAUUUUCAAAGAGUCUUAGAG